AUUGAACGCUGGCGGAAUGCUUUACACAUGCAAGUCGAACGGCAGCACGGGGGCAACCCUGGUGGCGAGUGGCGAACGGGUGAGUAAUACAUCGGAACGUGCCCAGUCGUGGGGGAUAACGUAGCGAAAGCUACGCUAAUACCGCAUACGAUCUCUGGAUGAAAGCGGGGGACCGCAAGGCCUCGCGCGAUUGGAGCGGCCGAUGGCAGAUUAGGUAGUUGGUGGGGUAAAGGCUCACCAAGCCGACGAUCUGUAGCUGGUCUGAGAGGACGACCAGCCACACUGGGACUGAGACACGGCCCAGACUCCUACGGGAGGCAGCAGUGGGGAAUUUUGGACAAUGGGCGAAAGCCUGAUCCAGCCAUUCCGCGUGCAGGAUGAAGGCCCUCGGGUUGUAAACUGCUUUUGUACGGAACGAAACGGUCCUGGUUAAUACCUGGGGCUAAUGACGGUACCGUAAGAAUAAGCACCGGCUAACUACGUGCCAGCAGCCGCGGU
Molecule: ribosomal RNA, 498 nt
Filed under: uncultured bacterium
Lineage: Bacteria
Description: bacterial SSU rRNA
Rfam family: Bacterial small subunit ribosomal RNA
Source: RNAcentral